GACGAACGCUGGCGGCGUGCUUGACACAUGCAAGUCGAACGGAAAGGCCCUGCUUUUGUGGGGUGCUCGAGUGGCGAACGGGUGAGUAACACGUGAGUAACCUGCCCCUGACUUUGGGAUAACUUCAGGAAACUGGGGCUAAUACCGGAUAGGAGCUCCUGCUGCAUGGUGGGGGUUGGAAAGUUUCGGCGGUUGGGGAUGGACUCGCGGCUUAUCAGCUUGUUGGUGGGGUAGUGGCUUACCAAGGCUUUGACGGGUAGCCGGCCUGAGAGGGUGACCGGCCACAUUGGGACUGAGAUACGGCCCAGACUCCUACGGGAGGCAGCAGUGGGGAAUAUUGCACAAUGGGCGGAAGCCUGAUGCAGCAACGCCGCGUGCGGGAUGACGGCCUUCGGGUUGUAAACCGCUUUCGCCUGUGACGAAGCGUGAGUGACGGUAAUGGGUAAAGAAGCACCGGCUAACUACGUG
Molecule: ribosomal RNA, 468 nt
Filed under: uncultured bacterium
Lineage: Bacteria
Description: partial 16S ribosomal RNA
Rfam family: Bacterial small subunit ribosomal RNA
Source: RNAcentral